Molecule: ribosomal RNA, 442 nt
Filed under: uncultured bacterium
Lineage: Bacteria
Description: partial 16S ribosomal RNA
Rfam family: Bacterial small subunit ribosomal RNA
Source: RNAcentral
CCUACGGGAGGCAGCAGUGGGGAAUAUUGGACAAUGGGCGCAAGCCUGACCCAGCAACGCCGCGUGAAGGAAGAAGGCUUUCGGGUUGUUAACUUCUUUUGUCAUGGAAGAGUAUAAGAAGGUUCCUAACGUAUAAGCCACGGCUAACUACGUGUCAGCAGCCGCGCUAAUAUGGAGGGUGCGAGCGUUGUUCGGUAUUACUGGCCGUAAAGGGAGUGUAGGCGGAUAUGUUAGACAGCGGUGAAAUGCCCGGGCGCAACCCCGGAACUGCCAUUCUGACUAGGUAGCUAGAGUAAUGGAGGGGAGAGCGGAAUGCCCAGUGUAGAGGUGAAAUUCGUAGAUAUUGGGUAGAACACCGGUGGCGAAGGCGGCUAUCUGGACAUUUACUGACGCUGAGGCUCGAAAGCGUGGGGAGCAAACAGGAUUAGAUACCCUGGUAGUC